AUGCUCACUUCAGCAGCACAUAUACUAAAAUUGGAAUGAUACAGAGAGAUUAGCAUGGCCCUUGUGCAAGGAUGACAUGCAAAUUCAUGAAGCAUUCCAUAUUUUU
This 106-nucleotide small nuclear RNA is filed under the name Tupaia belangeri chinensis (Chinese tree shrew). The record is from RNAcentral. Lineage: Eukaryota; Metazoa; Chordata; Mammalia; Scandentia; Tupaiidae.